This 1114-nucleotide long non-coding RNA is filed under the name Gopherus agassizii (Agassiz's desert tortoise). RNAcentral's name for it is "lncRNA (ENSGAGG00000015790.1)". The record is from RNAcentral. Lineage: Eukaryota; Metazoa; Chordata; Testudines; Testudinidae.
CAGCUAUUCUCCCCGGAGAGCAACGGGCAAACGUCAUAGAAGUGGCUUCCCCCGGAUUAUCCGCCUCCCGUUUUUAAGAGGCUUUGGGAUGGAUCUCAGGCCUCGCCUGUGUGGAGGGUUCGCCCUGAUCCCAGUCACCGGUAUGCGAGCAGCCUUCCUUGCCUAUCACCGGUGGUUGGAAUCUGGGCCACUCCUUGGCGUCGGUAAGGUCCUGGCUGCGCUGUGAACAAGCCUCUCUUCUCUGCCUUUUCCCUGUCCCUCCCUUGCAGGAUCGGCAGCCCCAAAGACUCUCAGGGAGAUAGCAGUUCGGUGAAGAAGGUGCACCAAGUCACUAUGUCACAGCCAAAGCGCAACUUCACAGCAGUCAGGACCCCAAAAGACAUCACGUCAGAAAACUCCAUCUCUAGAUUACUCUUCUGCUGCUGGUUCCCCUGGAUGCUGCGUGCAGAGAUGCAGUCCUAAGGCCUCGGCACGCGCCUCUCCCAUCCUCCGCUCUGUCCUCUGUUCUCCAACUAACCGAAAGAAAGACUGCUCUCCCCGUUGGGCUCUCAUCCCCCUGCCCGCCCCCCUGAGUCGCAGUUCUAGUGAACCCCAGUGCCUUGGUACCAUUGAACGUCGCCCCCUAUAGUCCGUGAGAAAGGCUGCACUAACCCCCCCAACCCACCGCGGGUAUGCACCCCACGCCCCGGGUAGACGUAACAUGGGCUCGGAAGCGCCCCUCUUUGAUUUCUCCCCCAGGGCGCAGUGGUGUGAACACAAAGCCUCUUUGGUACAGAUUUCCCUCUGUGGUUUUAUUGCUCUGAGCCUGACGCUCGGGAUAAGGCCUAUCAAGGAACCCCAGAGCCUGGCCCUUUGAGUUGCUCCCCAGCUAAACUUAAUCUAACCUGGCCUCUCUCUACAUCUCUGUAGCAGUGCGGACAGGGUCAGGUUAUAACACUCUGACUGUGGAAGUAAUGAUCCUCCCCAGCUUAAGCUGCCUUUUUCUCUGGGAAUCAUGUAAUGCUUACCUUCCAGGAUCAAUGCUAUUCGAUUGCUCAGUUCCUUUCAGGGAGGAGAUCUGGCUUAUAGAAACUGGUCUCAUGUUGAACCUUAAAGAGCAGUGAGAUUUGGGGGG